This 156-nucleotide long non-coding RNA is filed under the name Mustela putorius furo (domestic ferret). RNAcentral's name for it is "lncRNA (ENSMPUG00000027962.1)". The record is from RNAcentral. Lineage: Eukaryota; Metazoa; Chordata; Mammalia; Carnivora; Mustelidae.
CAGACCCACCGAGCAGGCGUUUAUUGUUGUGUGAGGACACCACAUCCACAUAGCACAGAGAAGAAUCUGUGUUAACAGACUAAUGGUUGGCAAGUUAACUUAAGACGCCACGAUGUGUUCAACCCAAAACUACAUUUCCCAGUGACAUUGUACCCG